UUGAACUUAAAUAAAGGGCCAAAUCUGCAAGGCCUAUCUGCUGUUGGAAGGCUCCCAGUUCCCGUGCUGGGUAGGGGAGCAAUAACGAGAACGAUGACAUAGGGUAUUAAAGGUGGAAGUACGUUCUGAGGGUGAAAGCAUGGGAUUGCUUGUGAGCAGUUGGAGCCCCCAUGGAAGCAACAUGAAAGGCUCCAGAUGUUUGACUGGAGCUUGCACUCAAGCGCUCAGUGCCAGAGGUGAAGUUCAGAUUAGUAUUUAGGAGUUUGUCUCAAAUGUACCAACACAUUUCCCCACUCCCCAUUCUGGGUACCCAACAAUACUUGGUGCUCUGAAAAUCACUCUGCACUCUCAGACAGGCCAGCAUCAUCAAAGCCAUACCAUAGAUGGGAACUGUGGUGUUGAUAAUGUCUGAGGCCAUUGGAAGAGUUAUUAGCAGAGGAGGGCUUAGGACAGCGGGAAGGACUGAAUGCCUGGUCUGUGCCCCAGCAUCCUUUUGCCAGACUUCCUACUGAGUCAAGCAAUACUGCUGCUUUCCAUGAAGCUUAGAGACAGUGGACGGUGGAGUAGUGCUGUGACCUCGCUACAGAAGAAGGACUUGAGGAAGCGUGGGUUGCAGUCCUAGCUCUGCCUUGGAUUGGUGGUGAGAUCGCAAGCAGGCUGACUCGCCUCGCUCAGCCAAGCCUUUUCAUUCUGGAAAGGAAGGCAUUGGUUCUACCACCCCUCACAAGUAGGGCAAGUAACUCACUUGGGUACAGGUCAGGGGAAAGAGGAAUCAAAAGAGAAAAGACAGCUCUGGCAAGGACCAGUAGAGGCCACCAUUGCACUCCUUAAAGGAUUUUGGCAUUCCCAUCAUGGGAUGGAUUUUUAAUUCCCAGAACAGCUCCUCUGAGAUUUCCCCAGGACACUCACUGCAACAAUCGGCUCAGCAGGCAGUUCCUGAUGAACCAGAAGCUGAUCUCCAAUCUCAUCCUUUCAUUCCUCUGGAGCUCUCAGUUCUUGCAUCUAUAGACAAGACCCUGUUGUAGGAGGCAGCAGGUCAGUACUUGAACUCCAAUGGAGCAGGUGCAUUGCUGCACCUCUAUUUAACAACCUCAGCCUUGAAGUAUUACUGUGUAAGGUCCUUGCUUUGCUCCAAGCAGCCUGAGAAAUACUCACCAGUAAACUACUUUGAGUUGGCAUUACAGUGGCAUAUAUUAAAAUCAUGAUCUCCUUGUGAAUGCUCCUCUAGCCACCUAGAUGCAUGUUGACAGGGC
Long non-coding RNA from Gavialis gangeticus (Gharial), 1253 nucleotides. RefSeq lists it as uncharacterized. The transcript has 3 exons. Lineage: Eukaryota; Metazoa; Chordata; Crocodylia; Gavialidae. The record is from RefSeq and is a predicted model, not a curated record.